GCGUAACGCGUGGGAAUCUGCCCUUAGGUUCGGAAUAACAGUUAGAAAUGACUGCUAAUACCGCAUAAUGACUCCGGUCCAAAGAUUUAUCGCCUGAGGAUGAGCCCGCGUUGGAUUAGCUAGUUGGUGGGGUAAAGGCCUACCAAGGCGACGAUCCAUAGCUGGUCUUAGAGGAUGAUCAGCCACACUGGGACUGAGACACGGCCCAGACUCCUACGGGAGGCAGCAGUGGGGAAUAUUGGACAAUGGGCGAAAGCCUGAUCCAGCAAUGCCGCGUGAGUGAUGAAGGCCUUAGGGUUGUAA
RNAcentral lists this ribosomal RNA (303 nucleotides) under uncultured Sphingomonadaceae bacterium. RNAcentral describes it as "bacterial SSU rRNA". It matches the Rfam family "Bacterial small subunit ribosomal RNA", at positions 108 to 428 of the family's 1533-position model. The record is from RNAcentral. Lineage: Bacteria; Pseudomonadati; Pseudomonadota; Alphaproteobacteria; Sphingomonadales; Sphingomonadaceae.